UCCGGUUUGUCACCGGCAGUCUCAUUAGAGUGCCCAACUGAAUGUAGCAACUAAUGACAAGGGUUGCGCUCGUUGCGGGACUUAACCCAACAUCUCACGACACGAGCUGACGACAGCCAUGCAGCACCUGUGUUACGGCUCCCUUUCGGGCACACCCACCUCUCAGCGGGCUUCCGUACAUGUCAAGGGUAGGUAAGGUUUUUCGCGUUGCAUCGAAUUAAUCCACAUCAUCCACCGCUUGUGCGGGUCCCCGUCAAUUCCUUUGAGUUUUAGCCUUGCGGCCGUACUCCCCAGGCGGGGCGCUUAAUGCGUUAGCUACGGCGCAGGAGGGGUCGAUACCUCCCACGCCUAAUGUGCAUCGUUUACAGCUAAGACUAC
Molecule: unclassified non-coding RNA, 378 nt
Filed under: uncultured bacterium
Lineage: Bacteria
Description: contains 16S-23S intergenic spacer region
Source: RNAcentral